AAGUUGGGCGUGAAAGCCCCGGGCUUAACUCGGGGAGGCCGUUCAAUACUGCAGGGCUAGAGGAUGUCAGAGGGAGAUAGAAUUCCUGGUGUAGCAGUGAAAUGCGUAGAUAUCAGGAGGACACCCGUGGCGAAGGCGGUCUCCUGGGGCAUUCCUGACGCUGAGAAGCGAAAGCUAGGGGAGCAAACGGGAUUAGAUACCCCGGUAGUCCUAGCCCUAAACGAUGAAUACUUGGUGUGCGAGUAUUAAGUACUCGCGUGUCGUAGCUAACGCGAUAAGUAUUCCGCCUGGGGAGUAUGGUCGCAAGAUUGAAACUCCAAGGAAUUGACGGGGAACCGCACAAGCGGUGGAGCCUGUGGUUUAAUUCGACGCAACGCGAAGAACCUUAACC
RNAcentral lists this ribosomal RNA (391 nucleotides) under uncultured Acidobacteriota bacterium. RNAcentral's name for it is "bacterial SSU rRNA". It matches the Rfam family "Bacterial small subunit ribosomal RNA", at positions 585 to 976 of the family's 1533-position model. The record is from RNAcentral. Lineage: Bacteria; Pseudomonadati; Acidobacteriota.